RNAcentral lists this ribosomal RNA (36 nucleotides) under Yersinia sp. AB97001. RNAcentral's name for it is "partial 23S ribosomal RNA". Lineage: Bacteria; Pseudomonadati; Pseudomonadota; Gammaproteobacteria; Enterobacterales; Yersiniaceae. The record is from RNAcentral.
GGUUAAGCGACUAAGCGUACACGUGAUGCCUAGCAG